GCUCACUGCAACCUCCACCUCCCAGGUUCAAGCAGUUCUCUGCCUCAGCCUUCUGAGUAGCUGGGAUUAUAGGUGCCCACCACCAUGCCUGGCUAAUUUUUGUAUUUUUAGUAGAGACGGAGUUUCAUCAUCUUGGCCAGGCUAGUCUUGAACUCCUGACCUCGUGAUCCACCUGCCUCGGCCUCCCAAAGUGCUGGGAUUACAGGCGUGAGCCACCGAGCCCAGCCCAACAAGAUAUCUUCUUGAGGGAUGAAGUAAAUCUCCUGUCAAAGGAUUGGAGAGAAGGAACCAACCGUCUUUCACUCACCCACUUAGAACCUUCUGGAAGCCCUGACUGCCUUGCUGUAAGGUCGGCUGAAUGGAAAGAGACAAAGGCUGUUGGCCCUGAUAACAGAGGACAUGGAGAACACUGACGGGCCAGCACAGAGAGGUGUCAAACCUACAUUGCAGCCUGAAGGAUGUCUUCACUUCCUCCUGCUCCUUCGCCUUGUAUCCUUCAUAGAUUUUUCCCGCAAUAAAACUUUGCA
This 527-nucleotide long non-coding RNA is filed under the name Homo sapiens (human). RNAcentral describes it as "HSALNT0089349". The record is from RNAcentral. Lineage: Eukaryota; Metazoa; Chordata; Mammalia; Primates; Hominidae.